Molecule: ribosomal RNA, 497 nt
Filed under: uncultured bacterium
Lineage: Bacteria
Description: partial 16S ribosomal RNA
Rfam family: Bacterial small subunit ribosomal RNA
Source: RNAcentral
GAUGAACGCUGGCGGCGUGCCUAAUACAUGCAAGUCGAGCGAACGGACGAGAAGCUUGCUUCUCUGAUGUUAGCGGCGGACGGGUGAGUAACACGUGGAUAACCUACCUAUAAGACUGGGAUAACUUCGGGAAACCGUAGCUAAUACCGGAUAAUAUUUUGAACCGCAUGGUUCAAAAGUGAAAGACGGUCUUGCUGUCACUUAUAGAUGAAUCCGCGCUGCAUUAGCUAGUUGGUAAGGUAACGGCUUACCAAGGCGACGAUGCAUAGCCGACCUGAGAGCGUGAUCGGUCACACUGGAUCUGAGACCCGGUCCAGACGCCUACGGGAGGCAGCCGUCGGGAACCCUCCGCACUGGGCGAAAGCCUGACGGAGCACCGCCGCGCGAGUGAUGAAGGCCUUCGGAUCGUAAAGCUCCUUUAUUAGGGAAGAACAUAUGGGUAACUAACCGUGCACAUCCUGACGGUACCCAAACAGAAAUCCACGGCUACCUUCGUG